GCCGGGCGAGGUGGCGGCGCCUGUAGUCCCAGCUACUCAGGAGGCUGAGGCAGGAGAAUGGCGGGAACCCGGGAGGCGGAGCUUGCAGUGAGCUGAGAUCCGGUCACUGCACUCCAGCCNNNNNNNNNNGGCUGGAGUGCAGUGACCGGAUCUCAGCUCACUGCAAGCUCCGCCUCCCGGGUUCCCGCCAUUCUCCUGCCUCAG
Molecule: non-coding RNA, 204 nt
Organism: Chlorocebus sabaeus (green monkey)
Lineage: Eukaryota; Metazoa; Chordata; Mammalia; Primates; Cercopithecidae
Rfam family: Metazoan signal recognition particle RNA
About the family: The signal recognition particle (SRP) is a universally conserved ribonucleoprotein. It is involved in the co-translational targeting of proteins to membranes.
Source: Rfam